This 87-nucleotide transfer RNA is filed under the name Paraglaciecola psychrophila. RNAcentral describes it as "tRNA-Leu". It matches the Rfam family "tRNA". Rfam says of the family: Transfer RNA (tRNA) molecules are approximately 80 nucleotides in length. Lineage: Bacteria; Pseudomonadati; Pseudomonadota; Gammaproteobacteria; Alteromonadales; Alteromonadaceae. The record is from RNAcentral. RNAcentral also lists the same sequence under 1 other name.
GCCCGGGUGGUGAAAUUGGUAGACACAGGAGACUUAAAAUCUCCCGACUUAACGGUCGUGCCGGUUCAAUUCCGGCCUCGGGCACCA